RNAcentral lists this ribosomal RNA (499 nucleotides) under uncultured bacterium. RNAcentral describes it as "partial 16S ribosomal RNA". It matches the Rfam family "Bacterial small subunit ribosomal RNA", at positions 28 to 507 of the family's 1533-position model. The record is from RNAcentral.
GACGAACGCUGGCGGCGUGCUUAACACAUGCAAGUCGAACGGGCCCGCCCCUGUUUUUGGGGGUGGGUUGAGUGGCGAACGGGUGAGUAUCACGUGAGUAACCUGCCCCCUGCUCCUGGAUAACUGCUUGAAAGGGCGGCUAAUACGGGGUGUGCCGGCUGGUCCGCAUGGGCCUGGUCGGGAUAGUUUCAUCUUCGGGUGUUUCGGUGGGGGAUGGGCUCGCGGCCUAUCAGCUUGGUGGUGGGGUGAUGGCCCACCAAGGCGGUGACGGGUAGCCGGCCUGAGAGGGUGGGCGGCCACACUGGGACUGAGACACGGCCCAGCCUCCUGCGGGAGGCAGCAGUGGGGGGUAUUGCACAAUGGGCGGAAGCCUGAUGCAGCGACGUCGCGUGAGGGAUGGAGGCCUUCGGGUUGUGAACCUCUUUCUCCGGUGGUGAAGGCCCUGUCCGUUGCGGCGGGGUUGACGGUAGCCGGGUAUGAAGCGCCGGCUAACUACGUG